RNAcentral lists this ribosomal RNA (1173 nucleotides) under Pseudapis unidentata albocincta. Its description in RNAcentral is "eukaryotic LSU rRNA". It matches the Rfam family "Eukaryotic large subunit ribosomal RNA", at positions 401 to 1266 of the family's 3401-position model. Lineage: Eukaryota; Metazoa; Arthropoda; Insecta; Hymenoptera; Halictidae. The record is from RNAcentral.
GAAACCGUUCAGGGGUAAACCUGAGAAACCCAAAAGAUCGAAUGGGGAGAUUCAUCGUCGACGAGGCUGGCUUCCGUAGGCGCGCAGAUACCCCGUAUGGGACCUUCGCGGUUCCAAUGCGAGGGUACACCGCCUUCGGCCUAAAUGUUCCGGCAACGUAGUCGUGCACUUCUCCCUUAGUAGAACGUCGCGACCCGUUGCGUGUCGGUCUACGGCCCGAGUGGUUGCCUGCCGCGUCGCCUUUGUGCGCACGCGACAGACCCUCGGUCGCCCGGCCGGCUGCGCGACGGUACUCUGACGGUAUCGGGCCGCAACCAAUCCAUUUUCGAAUGUGUGUGCGUCAGGCCCGCCGCAAGCUCGAUCAGUAUACCCUCGGAGGUACGGACCUGGUGCCGGCUCCGAGCCUGGUCAGCUGUUGGCAGGCGGUGUCCUCGGACUGGCCAAGCUUCGAAUUACCGGUCGGCGACGCUACUGCUUUGGGUACUCUCAGGACCCGUCUUGAAACACGGACCAAGGAGUCUAACAUGUGCGCGAGUCAUUGGGAUAUAUAAACCUAAAGGCGCAAUGAAAGUGAAGGUCAGGCCUAAGCGUCGACCGAGGGAGGAUGGGCCGCGUUGCGAUGCGGCCUCGCACUCCCGGGGCGUCUCGUUCUCAUCGCGAGAAGAGGCGCACCCAGAGCGUACACGUUGGGACCCGAAAGAUGGUGAACUAUGCCUGGUCAGGACGAAGUCAGGGGAAACCCUGAUGGAGGUCCGUAGCGAUUCUGACGUGCAAAUCGAUCGUCGGAACUGGGUAUAGGGGCGAAAGACUAAUCGAACCAUCUAGUAGCUGGUUCCCUCCGAAGUUUCCCUCAGGAUAGCUGGCACUCGCUCGUUCCUCCGUGAACUUGCGCGAGUUUCAUCUGGUAAAGCGAAUGAUUAGAGGCCUUGGGGCCGAAACGACCUCAACCUAUUCUCAAACUUUAAAUGGGUGAGAUCUCUGGCUUGCUUGGAUCAAUGAAGCCACGAGAUAUAUUUUUGAAUCAGAGUGCCAAGUGGGCCAAUUUUGGUAAGCAGAACUGGCGCUGUGGGAUGAACCAAACGCAGAGUUAAGGCGCCUAAGUCGACGCUUAUGGGAUACCAUGAAAGGCGUUGGUUGCUUAAGACAGCAGGACGGUGGCCAUGGAAGUCGGAA